UAUUAUAUUUAGGCUCAUAGGCCUAUAUACUCUAUAGCUUAGGCUAUAUACUAUAGACUAUAUAUUAUAUACCAAUAUUGUGCAUAAAACUUAAAGCAUGUAAGCAUACACAAUAAUAAUUAUCAUUAGACCUAUAGUAACUUAGACUCGUACUAUUUAGUACUACUUUAAUACUACCUUUAAACUAUUAGGCAUAAUGAAAUAAUGAUUAAUGAUUUCAGUGUUUUCCGCACUCGAGAGGAAAGAGGUUGCAGGGAACUUAGAGACUAAUCUUUGCCAACAUACUGGAUUUCUGGUGAUGACAAUAGCAGCAGAUAGUAUGCGGCUCAGUUAAUACUAAAAACAAUUGAUUUUAGUAAUUAGUGGACUAUGAGUGUGUGUUUGGCCAUCCAGAUUUCAUAACUACAACUGAUGUUCAAUUACAAGGGAUAUUAAUCAGUCUCCGUGGACUAUACACUGUGCCUAGUUUCAUCCUCAGAGACUGAUGUGUAAGCUUAAAGUAAAGACAUCAAAUCAAAGUAUCAGCCAUCAAGAGGAAAAACAUUCAAAAUCAUAUUGUGAUACACAAGUCAAGCAAGUCUGACCAGCAUUUUGAUACAGGCCAAGAAAAAGCUGGAUACUUGAUUGGAAGGGUCGCACAAAAAAAAUGAGUUAUCACUAGGGAAACAAUCUCGCAAUACAGUUCACUGUUAGGACAGCAAGCCAAAUACUUCUAAACUUAUUUGAAUCAUUUUUGCUGUUUAUUAUAAUUCAUCCAAUUGUCUUAUUAAAUAUAUAAAUUUAUAUAUAUACACAAUUCCUAAUAUAGAAUUUCUAAAAAUGUUUUAUUAUAAUAUUUAAAAAUGAAACAAACAUGUUCCCAUAACACAGCCACAUAAUGUCAACAUGUUCCCAGAACACAGCCACAUAAUGUCAACAUGUUCCCAGAACACAGCCACAUAAUGUCAACAUGUUCCCAGAACACACAAAAUGGCAACAUGUUCCCAGAACACACAAAAUGGCAACAUGUUCCCAGAACACAGCCAAAUAAUGUCAACAUGUUCCUGAACUCACAAAAUGGCAACAUGUUCCCAGAACACACAAAAUGGCAACAUGUUCCCAGAACACACAAAAUGGCAACAUGUUCCCAGAA
Physella acuta is the source of this 1132-nucleotide long non-coding RNA. RefSeq lists it as uncharacterized. Lineage: Eukaryota; Metazoa; Mollusca; Gastropoda; Physidae. The record is from RefSeq and is a predicted model, not a curated record.